This 906-nucleotide small RNA is filed under the name Arabidopsis thaliana (thale cress). RNAcentral's name for it is "ATSL213900". The record is from RNAcentral. Lineage: Eukaryota; Viridiplantae; Streptophyta; Magnoliopsida; Brassicales; Brassicaceae.
UGGGCCGGGCUUAGAGGAUAGGUACUGUUUUUUUUUUGUGGACGGACCAAACGAUUUCAUUUAAAAACCAAAAGCAGAUAAAAAACAGAAUGGUCAAGCUCAAAGAGGAAUACAAGCGGAAAUUAACGGUCAAAUAACUAAAUCAUAAUGAAGUUAGCAAAAAUAUUUGCACGUAUAAUUUAGCCUAAAGACACGUGUAGAAGAUGUGUUCUUCUGAAAACCACUCGUCACGUCGUAGUACCAAAAUCUUCUGGGUCGAUCAUAUGAAACCGCUUCAAAAAGAUUUCGAAAACCGCUAACUUCGGGGAAGCUAUAUCACUGACUACACCCAAUUUGAUGUAGUCUAGGAUCAAUCUUUCUAUGUACCUUGAAUAAAAACAGAAUGACGAAGAUAUUACUUCUUGAGCAAUUAGGGAAACAAAAAGAAUUUGGAAGACAUACAGAAAAAUCGAAGGAAAGAUAUUGGAAUAGAGAUAUUGGAAGUUGAAGUUUUGAUUUUUAGGUUUUUUUCUUUGAUCGUUUUUAUGCUAAUUUUGUGUUUGUUAAAGCUGAAACUUCAAUGAGAUGGCUUUGAUUUAUGAUUUUUAUUUGGGAAUUUUAGUUUGUAGAUUUAUGUUUUGUAUGAUCAUUGAAUCUUUGAAUAACCCAUGCACUAGUAAGAUGUUAUAUUAUAAUAUAUGGAUACUAGACUUGAAUUGUUCUAAUUAGUAGGAAGAGAACUAUUGUUGAUAAAAUAACAUGUACAACUAGUGUACCUGUUAGACUAUCUACAUUAGUUACAUGGUUACAAUGUCCACUUUUCUCUUUUCAACACUCCACAUUAUAAUUCAAUACCUACAUAAUUUUUACUUACUACAAUAGUUUUGUUUAAUAAAAUUACAACACAUUACCCUACCAUUAUUUUAU